UUGAACGCUGGCGGUAUGCUUAACACAUGCAAGUCGAACGGAAACGAUACUAGCUUGCUAGUAGGCGUCGAGUGGCGGACGGGUGGGUAACGCGUAGGAAUCUGCCUGAUAGUGGGGGAUAGCCCGAAGAAAUUCGGAUUAAUACCGCAUAAUCUAUUCGUAGUAAAGUGGGGGACUUUCGAGCCUCACGCUAUCAGAUGAGCCUGCGUAAGAUUAGCUUGUUGGUAGGGUAAAAGCCUACCAAGGCGACGAUCUUUAGCUGGUCUGAGAGGAUGAUCAGCCACAUCGGGACUGAGACACGGCCCGAACUCCUACGGGAGGCAGCAGUGGGGAAUAUUGGACAAUGGGGGCAACCCUGAUCCAGCAAUACCGCGUGUGUGAAGAAGGCCUGAGGGUUGUAAAGCACUUUCAAUUGUGAAGAAAAGUUAGCGGUUAAUAACCGUUAGCCUUGACGUUAACUUUAGAAGAAGCACCGGCUAACUCCGUGCCAGCAGCCGCGGUAAUACGGAGGGUGCAAGCGUUAAUCGGAAUUACUGGGCGUAAAGCGUGCGUAGGCGGUUUAUUAAGUCAGAUGUGAAAGCCCCGGGCUUAACCUGGGAACUGCAUUUGAAACUGGUCAACUAGAGUAUGGUAGAGGAAAGUGGAAUUUCUGGUGUAGCGGUGAAAUGCGUAGAUAUCAGAAGGAACAUCAAUGGCGAAGGCAGCUUUCUGGACCAAUACUGACGCUGAGGUACGAAAGCGUGGGUAGCAAACAGGAUUAGAUACCCUGGUAGUCCACGCCGUAAACGAUGAUAACUAGCCGUUGGGGGGAUUUACCCUUUAGUGGCGAAGCUAACGCGUUAAGUUGUCCGCCUGGGGAGUACGGCCGCAAGGUUAAAACUCAAAGGAAUUGACGGGGACCCGCACAAGCGGUGGAGCAUGUGGUUUAAUUCGAUGCAACGCGAAGAACCUUACCUGGUCUUGACAUACACGGAACUUUCCAGAGAUGGAUUGGUGCCUUCGGGAACCGUGAUACAGGUGCUGCAUGGCUGUCGUCAGCUCGUGUCGUGAGAUGUUGGGUUAAGUCCCGUAACGAGCGCAACCCUUAUCCUUAUUUGCCAGCACAUCAUGGUGGGAACUAUAAGGAGACUGCCGGUGAUAAACCGGAGGAAGGCGGGGACGACGUCAAGUCAUCAUGGCCCUUACGACCAGGGCUACACACGUGCUACAAUGGGAAGGACAAAGGGUUGCUAAGCCGCGAGGUGGUGCUAAUCUCAUAAACCUUUUCGUAGUCCGGAUCGGAGUCUGCAACUCGACUCCGUGAAGUCGGAAUCGCUAGUAAUCGUGGAUCAGAACGCCACGGUGAAUACGUUCCCGGGUCUUGUACACACCGCCCGUCA
RNAcentral lists this ribosomal RNA (1379 nucleotides) under uncultured Gammaproteobacteria bacterium. RNAcentral describes it as "bacterial SSU rRNA". It matches the Rfam family "Bacterial small subunit ribosomal RNA", at positions 29 to 1399 of the family's 1533-position model. The record is from RNAcentral. Lineage: Bacteria; Pseudomonadati; Pseudomonadota; Gammaproteobacteria.